RNAcentral lists this ribosomal RNA (301 nucleotides) under uncultured bacterium. RNAcentral describes it as "partial 16S ribosomal RNA". It matches the Rfam family "Bacterial small subunit ribosomal RNA", at positions 509 to 807 of the family's 1533-position model. The record is from RNAcentral.
CAGCAGCCGCGGUAAAACGAAGGGGGCUAGCGUUGUUCGGAAUUACUGGGCGUAAAGCGCACGUAGGCGGAUAUUUAAGUCAGGGGUGAAAUCCCGCAGCUCAACUGCGGAACUGCCUUUGAUACUGGGUAUCUUGAGUAUGGAAGAGGUAAGUGGAAUUCCGAGUGUAGAGGUGAAAUUCGUAGAUAUUCGGAGGAACACCAGUGGCGAAGGCGGCUUACUGGUCCAUUACUGACGCUGAGGUGCGAAAGCGUGGGGAGCAAACAGGAUUAGAUACCCCGGUAGUCCCUGUCUCUUAUAC